RNAcentral lists this ribosomal RNA (498 nucleotides) under uncultured bacterium. Its description in RNAcentral is "partial 16S ribosomal RNA". It matches the Rfam family "Bacterial small subunit ribosomal RNA", at positions 30 to 523 of the family's 1533-position model. The record is from RNAcentral.
AUUGAACGCUGGCGGCAUGCUUUACACAUGCAAGUCGAACGGCAGCGCGGGGCAACCUGGCGGCGAGUGGCGAACGGGUGAGUAAUACAUCGGAACGUACCCAGAAGUGGGGGAUAACGUAGCGAAAGUUACGCUAAUACCGCAUACGUUCUACGGAAGAAAGUGGGGGAUCGCAAGACCUCAUGCUUUUGGAGCGGCCGAUGUCUGAUUAGCUAGUUGGUGAGGUAAAGGCCCACCAAGGCGACGAUCAGUAGCUGGUCUGAGAGGACGACCAGCCACACUGGGACUGAGACACGGCCCAGACUCCUACGGGAGGCAGCAGUGGGGAAUUUUGGACAAUGGGCGCAAGCCUGAUCCAGCAAUGCCGCGUGAGUGAAGAAGGCCUUCGGGUUGUAAAGCUCUUUUGUCAGGGAAGAAACGGCUGAGGUUAAUACCUUCGGCUAAUGACGGUACCUGAAGAAUAAGCACCGGCUAACUACGUGCCAGCCGCCGCAGUAA